GACGAACGCUGGCGGCGUGCUUAACACAUGCAAGUCGAACGGGCUCUGUCUGGCUGUGUGCUGGGUGGGGUUAGUGGCGAACGGGUGAGUAAUACGUGAGUAACCUGCCCUCUUCUUUGGGAUAAGCCUUGGAAACGGGGUCUAAUACUGGAUAUUCCUGUCUGGUCGCAUGGCUGGGUGGGGAAAGUUUUUUUCGGUGGGGGAUGGGCUCGCGGCCUAUCAGCUUGUUGGUGGGGUGAUGGCCUACCAAGGCGUCGACGGGUAGCCGGCCUGAGAGGGUGACCGGCCACACUGGGACUGAGAUACGGCCCAGACUCCUACGGGAGGCAGCAGUGGGGGAUAUUGCACAAUGGGCGCAAGCCUGAUGCAGCGACGCCGCGUGGGGGAUGACGGCUUUCGGGUUGUAAACCUCUUUCGUCGGGGGACAAGGCUCUGCUUGGUGGUGGGGUUGAGGGUACCCGGUGAAGAAACGCCGGCUAACUACGU
Molecule: ribosomal RNA, 486 nt
Filed under: uncultured bacterium
Lineage: Bacteria
Description: partial 16S ribosomal RNA
Rfam family: Bacterial small subunit ribosomal RNA
Source: RNAcentral